This 2767-nucleotide long non-coding RNA is filed under the name Homo sapiens (human). RNAcentral describes it as "HSALNT0073750". The record is from RNAcentral. Lineage: Eukaryota; Metazoa; Chordata; Mammalia; Primates; Hominidae.
UUUAGAGCUGUGAAAAUUUGGGUUGGAUAAAGCUAAGUAAUUUGCUCAAGGUCACAUAGCUGGCAAAAAACAAUGCUAAGUUUUGAACCAAGGCUGUAUCUUUACUUAAGAUUUAAAUUUUAAGAUUAUACUGUUCUCCUUGUUUAACUUUUUAACUUACUUUUCUUGUGAUAUUAGCACAUAUAAAGUAGUAUUUUCUAAAAACUCCUCCCAAUUAUUUUUUUCCUCAUGGGAUUUAUGAUAAUGCUUAUGAAUCAAUUGUUGGUCACUUACAUUACUCUCUAGGGGGUGCUCUGUGCAUUCUUUCUUACAUCAUUCCAAAGGAGGAAUGUUAACAUGAGUCAAGGAUGUAAUGGAAUCCUCACAGAUCCACAAUUGGGCCACUGUGCUAAGAGGAGGAGCAAAUAGGGCAAUGUUUGGAGAAGCAAAUAGGGCAACAUUUUCUUCAUAGUACUGUGUAUUUGCUUGGAGAGGGCUCGGAGGCAUUACAGAACCGGAAUAUGAUAUGGGAUAAAUGAGGCAGACAGGAUAGUCUAGCUUUGCCCUAUGUCUAGGGAAUGUGGCUCUCUUGUCCUUGGGCUUUGUCUUCUUACCUCCUCUCAAAACCUGAUAAAAUACAGAGAACAGGAUCAGGAUGUGACCUAGAGGAAAGGCACCAGGGGCAGGUUUUUCAGAAAUGUUGGUUCUUAAUGGAAGAAGAAUCAGUCAUUGCGAUUAUUCUUGUGGUAGGAUGCCAUACCACCAGUGUAGACCUCCUGCACUCAGGCUCAGAUAUUUCUGCAAGAAUAGAGGAGCAGAAAGAAAUACUAUAAUGAAGGCCAAAGUGGAGUAUAAACAAAAUGGAGGGAUUAUUUGUUAAGCCUUUGAGAAUAUGCUGAAGGAAUAACAACUUUAUUGUAACUGCUGCGUGACAACAUGGAGAGAUGCGUCCUGAUGUCAAUGAUGAUAAAGCAUCAAAAAGUGUGCAUCUUAGAAUGAACAAAUUCUAAGUUAGUUAUGAUUGUUGGGGCUAACACAUUUUCAAUAUGUAUUUUUUUUCAAUGCAUGAAGCUAAAAUGAGAAAUAAUUAUAACACUUCACACUUGUUUACAACUUUACAGCCUCCAAAGCAUUUCCCUACACAUUAUCUGAUUAAAAUUUCAGCCUAGAACCAACACUAGCAACAGCAUCGUUAUCUCUGGUGGUAGAUGACAUUUUUAAAACCAUGUCAAUGAUGUUAUUCUGCAAGUUUGUAUUUACACACUUCUUCAUUUCAUUUACUAGUUGUGGCAGACUGCAUGUCCACCAAAAUCCAUUCUCCCUUUUUUCCUGGUACAACUGGGCUGUAUUUUCCAGGCUCCCUGAAGAGUUAUGGCUGUGUGACUGAGUUCUAGUCAAUGGAAUGUGAACAUACAAGGUAUAUACUACUUUCAGGCCUGGCCCAUACAAUUAUUCAGUACAUGCUCUCCCCUCCAUUUAAACAUUGGAGACAUUUUACUGGGAGACAAAUGUGAAGAUGGUAUAGCCUCCAUCACUCUAGGUCUUUAAAUGGCUUUGUAGUUCCUGUUAUCCCCACCCUAAGCAGUUACAUAAAAAAGUAAUAAACAUUGUUCUUUAAGCCAUUGAAUUCUGAAAUUUAUGUGUCAUCAUGUCUUAGCUUGCUUUUUUAAUUAAAAAAUUUUUAAACUUUUAUUUUAAGUUCAGGAGUACAUAUGCAGGUUUGUUAUGUAGGUAGAUUGCAUGUCAUGGGGGUUUGGAGUACAGAUCAUUUCAUCACCCAGGUAGUAAGCAUAAUUUCCAAUAUGUAGUUUAUUGAUCCUCACCCUCCUCCCACCUUCCACCCUCAAUUAGGCCCUGAUGUCUAUUGUUCUCUUCUUUGUGUCUAUGUGUACUCAAUGUUUAGCUCCCACUUAUAAGUGACAACAUGCAGGAUUUGGUUUUCUGUUUCUGUGUUAGUUUGCUUAGGUGAAUGACUUCCAGCUCCAUCAUGUUGCUGCAAAGGACACAAUCUCAUUCUUUACUAUGGCUGUGUGGUAUUCUAUGGUGUACAUGUACCACAUUUUCUUUAUCCAGUCUACCAUUAAUGGACAUUUAGUUGAUUCCAUGUCUUUGCUAUUGUGAAUAGUGCUGCAAUGAACACACAUGUGCAUGUGUCUUUAUGGCAGAAUGAUUUACAUUCUUCUGGGUAUACACUCGGUAAAGGGAUUGCUGGGUCAAGUGGUAUUUCUCUUUUAAGUUCUUUGAGAAAUCUCCAAGCUGCUUUCCACGAUGACUGAACUAAUUUACAUUCCCACCAGCAGUGUAUGUGUUCCCUUUUCUCCGCAAACUUGCAGGCAUCUGUUAUUUUUUUGACCUUUUAAUAACAGCAAUUAUGACUGGUGUAAGAUGGUAUCUCAUUGUGAUUUGCAUUUCUGUAACUACUAGUGACAUUGAGCAUCUUUUUAUAUGCUUGUUGGCUGCUUGUAAGUCUUCUCUUGAAAAGUAUCUGUUCAUGUGCUUUGCCCACUUUUUAAUGAGUUGUUGGUUUUUUGCUUGUUAAUUUGUUUAAGCUCCUUAUAGAUUCUAUACAUUAGAUAUUUGUUGAAUGCACAGUUUGCAAAUAUUUUCUCCCAUUCUGUAGAUUGUCUAUUUACUCUGUUGGUUGUUGCUUUUGUUGUGCAGAAGCUCUGUAGUUCAAUUAGGUCCAAUUUGUCAAUUUGUGUUUUUGUUGUAAUAAAAUCUUUACCAGAGCCUAUGUCCUGUCUUAGCUUACUUUAACAAAUACAAUAGAUCGAGUUGCAUGUUUUCC